This is a long non-coding RNA of Medicago truncatula (barrel medic), 365 nucleotides long. RefSeq lists it as uncharacterized. Lineage: Eukaryota; Viridiplantae; Streptophyta; Magnoliopsida; Fabales; Fabaceae. The transcript has 3 exons. The record is from RefSeq and is a predicted model, not a curated record.
AUAUAUAUUGACUAUUAAUUUGUUCAUAUAUUGUAGCAAAAAUGGGCUAGUUUUUUCUAUGGGAAAUGCCAUUGCCAUUUUUUUAAGAUUGGAAUUUCAAUGUCUUGCCCCUGGUGGCUAUGUUGGACGGCAGAUCAUCAUGAUGAUGGCCAUGAAGAUUACUUGAGUUUAAAAGCUUACUGUUUAAGAUCUUUAAAACUGAUAUAUGUCCCUAUAGUGGAUGAAAUAGGGCACUGGUUUCUAAUGGUGGUUGCUUGAGAGGAUUGAAAAGUUUAUCUCCUAGACUCCCACUUGGUAGCUACGAAGGGUCUUCUUAAAAAAAUUGUAAGUGAAACUACAAUUUACAGCUAUUUAUGUAAAGUCAA